AGCAUGGUCUUAGCUUGCUAAGGCUGAUGGCGACCGGCGCACGGGUGAGUAACACGUAUCCUACUUGACGUCUACUCUUGGACAGCCUUCUGAAAGGAAGAUUACUUUAAGAUGGCAUCAUGAGUUCACAUGUUCACAUGAUUAAAGGUAUUCCGGUAGACGAUGGGGAUGCGUUCCAUUAGAUAGUAGGCGGGGUAACGGCCCACCUAGUCUUCGAUGGAUAGGGGUUCUGAGAGGAAGGUCCCCCACAUUGGAACUGAGACACGGUCCAAACUCCUACGGGAGGCAGCAGUGAGGAAUAUUGGUCAAUGGGCGAGAGCCUGAACCAGCCAAGUAGCGUGAAGGAUGACUGCCCUAUGGGUUGUAAACUUCUUUUAUAAAGGAAUAAAGUCGGGUAUGUAUACCCGUUUGCAUGUACUUUAUGAAUAAGGAUCGGCUAACUCCGUGCCAGCAGCCGCGGUAAUACGGAGGAUCCGAGCGUUAUCCGGAUUUAUUGGGUUUAAAGGGAGCGUAGAUGGAUGUUUAAGUCAGUUGUGAAAGUUUGCGGCUCAACCGUAAAAUUGCAGUUGAUACUGGAUAUCUUGAGUGCAGUUGAGGCAGGCGGAAUUCGUGGUGUAGCGGUGAAAUGCUUAGAUAUCACGAAGAACUCCGAUUG
Molecule: ribosomal RNA, 655 nt
Filed under: uncultured Bacteroides sp.
Lineage: Bacteria; Pseudomonadati; Bacteroidota; Bacteroidia; Bacteroidales; Bacteroidaceae
Description: bacterial SSU rRNA
Rfam family: Bacterial small subunit ribosomal RNA
Source: RNAcentral